Molecule: ribosomal RNA, 162 nt
Filed under: Torreya californica
Lineage: Eukaryota; Viridiplantae; Streptophyta; Pinopsida; Cupressales; Taxaceae
Also listed under: 1 other name
Description: nuclear 5.8S ribosomal RNA
Rfam family: 5.8S ribosomal RNA
About the family: 5.8S ribosomal RNA (5.8S rRNA) is a component of the large subunit of the eukaryotic ribosome. It is transcribed by RNA polymerase I as part of the 45S precursor that also contains 18S and 28S rRNA.
Source: RNAcentral
AAUAUGACUCUCGGCAACGGAUAUCUCGGCUCUCGCCACGAUGAAGAAUGUAGCGAAAUGCGAUACUUAGUGUGAAUUGCAGAAUCCCGUGAAUCAUCGAGUCUUUGAACGCAAGUUGCGCCCGAGGCCUCGGCCGAGGGCACGCCUGCUUGGGCGUCGCAC